RNAcentral lists this ribosomal RNA (497 nucleotides) under uncultured bacterium. RNAcentral describes it as "partial 16S ribosomal RNA". It matches the Rfam family "Bacterial small subunit ribosomal RNA", at positions 28 to 507 of the family's 1533-position model. The record is from RNAcentral.
GAUGAACGCUGGCGGCGUGCCUAAUACAUGCCAGUCGAGCGAACAGACGAGGAGCUUACUCCUCUGACGUUAGCGGCGGACGGGUGAGUAACACGUGGAUAACCUACCUAUAAGACUGGGAUAACUUCGGGAAACCGGAGCUAAUACCGGAUAACAUGUUGAACCGCAUGGUUCAACAGUGAAAGACGGUCUUGCUGUCACUUAUAGAUGGAUCCGCGUCGCAUUAGCUAGUUGGUAAGGUAACGGCUUACCAAGGCAACGAUGCGUAGCCGACCUGAGAGGGUGAUCGGCCACACUGGAACUGAGACACGGUCCAGACUCCUACGGGAGGCAGCAGUAGGGAAUCUUCCGCAAUGGGCGAAAGCCUGGCGGAGCAACGCCGCGUGAGUGAAGAAGGUCUUCGGAUCGUAAAACUCUGUUAUUAGGGAAGAACAAAUGUGUAAGUAACUAUGCACGUCUUGACGGUACCUAAUCAGAAAGCCACGGCUAACUACGUG